GUCGACCCCUAAGGCGAGGCCGAAAGGCGUAGUCGAUGGGAAACAGGUUAAUAUUCCUGUACUUGGUGUUACUGCGAAGGGGGGACGGAGAAGGCUAUGUUAGCCGGGCGACGGUUGUCCCGGUUUAAGCAUGUAGGCUGGUUAUCCAGGCAAAUCCGGAUAACCAAGGCUGAGGUGUGAUGACGAGGCACUACGGUGCUGAAGUAACAAAUGCCCUGCUUCCAGGAAAAGCCUCUAAGCAUCAGGUAACAUCAAAUCGUACCCCAAACCGACACAGGUGGUCAGGUAGAGAAUACCAAGGCGCUUGAGAGAACUCGGGUGAAGGA
This 326-nucleotide ribosomal RNA is filed under the name Klebsiella pneumoniae. RNAcentral's name for it is "bacterial LSU rRNA". It matches the Rfam family "Bacterial large subunit ribosomal RNA", at positions 1383 to 1711 of the family's 2925-position model. The record is from RNAcentral. Lineage: Bacteria; Pseudomonadati; Pseudomonadota; Gammaproteobacteria; Enterobacterales; Enterobacteriaceae.